RNAcentral lists this transfer RNA (73 nucleotides) under Alosa alosa (allis shad). RNAcentral's name for it is "tRNA-OTHER". It matches the Rfam family "tRNA". Rfam says of the family: Transfer RNA (tRNA) molecules are approximately 80 nucleotides in length. Their secondary structure includes four short double-helical elements and three loops (D, anti-codon, and T loops). The record is from RNAcentral. Lineage: Eukaryota; Metazoa; Chordata; Actinopteri; Clupeiformes; Clupeidae.
GUGGUGGUAGCGUAAUGGCUAAGGAGCUAGGCUAGUAUCUGAAAAGUUGUGGGUUCAAUUCCCACCUUCCACU